CGCAAGCCUGACGGAGCAAGACCGCGUGAGGGAGGAAGGUUCUUGGACUGUAAACCUCUUUUCUCUGGGAAGAAAAAAAUGACGGUACCAGAGGAAUAAGCAUCGGCUAACUCCGUGCUAGCAGCCGCGGUAAGACGGAGGAUGCAAGCGUUAUCCGGAAUGAUUGGGCGUAAAGCGCCCGCAGGUGGUUUUUCAAGUCUGCUGUUAAAGACCGGGGCUUAACUCCGGGCAGGCAGUGGAAACUGAAAGACUAGAGUAUGGUAGGGGCAGAGGGAAUUCCUGGUGUAGCGGUGAAAUGCGUAGAGCUCAGGAAGAACAUCGGUGGCGAAGGCGCUCUGCUAGGCCAAAACUGACACUCAGGGACGAAAGCUAGGGGAGCGAAUGGGAUUAGAUACCCCAGUAGUCCUAGCUGUAAACGAUGGAUACUAGGUGUUGUCUGUAUCGACCCGGACAGUGCCGUAGCUAACGCGUUAAGUAUCCCGCCUGGGGAGUACGCACGCAAGUGUGAAACUCAAAGGAAUUGACGGGGGCCCGCACAAGCGGUGGAGUAUGUGGUUUAAUUCGAUGCAACGCGAAGAACCUUACCAGGGCUUGACAUGUCCGGAACCCCGGUGAAAGCUGGGGGUGCCUUAGGGAGCCGGAACACAGGUGGUGCAUGGCUGUCGUCAGCUCGUGUCGUGAGAUGUUGGGUUAAGUCCCGCAACGAGCGCAACCCUCGUUUUCAGUUGCCAUCAUUAAGUUGGGAACUCUGGAGAGACUGCCGGUGACAAACCGGAGGAAGGUGGGGAUGACGUCAAGUCAGCAUGCCCCUUACGUCCUGGGCUACACACGUACUACAAUGGUCGGGACAAAGAGCAGCCAACUCGCGAGGGUGAGCUAAUCUCGAAAACCCGGCCUCAGUUCAGAUUGCAGGCUGCAACUCGCCUGCAUGAAGGCGGAAUCGCUAGUAAUCGCAGGUCAGCAUACUGCGGUGAAUCCGUUCCCGGGCCUUGUACACACCGCCCGUCACACCAUGGAAGUUGGCCACGCCCGAAGUCAUUACUCUAACCCGCAAGGGGGGAGGAUGCCGAAGGCAGGGCUGAUGACUGGGGUGAAGUCGUAACAAGGUAGCCGUACCGGAAGGUGUGGCUGGAUCACCUCCUUUUAGGGAGACCUAUUGAUACUGACCUGAACCUAUCACUACAACAGGCAGAAAUCAGUCAUCCCAAGGUCGGACGAGGUUAAACAGUUCUGAGUUAAUCAGGAUUGGGUGAAAACCAAAAUACCUAAGCUUUCAAACUAGAACCGGGUUCGGUUCAUGGGCUAUUAGCUCAGUUGGUUAGAGCGCACCCCUGAUAAGGGUGAGGUCUCUGGUUCAAAUCCAGAAUGGCCCACCUUCACAGGUGAACUUCACAGUGGAAAACUAAGGUGGAAAACUUGAUGUGAAAACUCAAGUGCCAAACCAAGAGUUCCAAACCAACGGGGGUAUAGCUCGGUUGGUAGAGCGCCUGCUUUGCACGCAGGAAGUCAGCGGUUCGAGUCCGCUUACCUCCACUUCUAUUUCUGUUGAGAGUUGAGAUUUGAGAAAAGUCUCAAGACUAUCUCAAGAAAAGUAGAGGGGGAGUUAAAAAGUCGUCUCGAAAGGGCGACCCAAGCAACUGAGAUGAGCAAGUGAACCCGAAACGAUUUCAGCAUCUGUACUUGUGUGAACAAGCUUGUGAGACAAGUCAGAAUGCUGGAUUCUUCUGAAUCCAGAGAGAACCUUGAAAACUGCAUAGCAAUAAGUCUUUAGAAAGCAGGUAUGUCAUACCGAGUUAAGGCUCGGCGUGUCUUACAAGCAAGAAAGAGAAUUCGCGUGAAAAUAGCGCAAUAAACUAACUAAGAGUAGGAACCGUAAAGGUUUUGAAUCUGAGUUAGAGUGGUCAAGCUAUAAAGGGCUAACGGUGGAU
RNAcentral lists this unclassified non-coding RNA (1928 nucleotides) under uncultured Arthrospira sp. RNAcentral's name for it is "bacterial SSU rRNA". The stretch from base 1 to 1144 matches the Rfam family "Bacterial small subunit ribosomal RNA", at positions 376 to 1533 of the family's 1533-position model. The record is from RNAcentral. Lineage: Bacteria; Bacillati; Cyanobacteriota; Cyanophyceae; Oscillatoriales; Microcoleaceae.